This 490-nucleotide ribosomal RNA is filed under the name uncultured bacterium. RNAcentral's name for it is "partial 16S ribosomal RNA". It matches the Rfam family "Bacterial small subunit ribosomal RNA", at positions 30 to 507 of the family's 1533-position model. The record is from RNAcentral.
AUUGAACGCUGGCGGCAGGCCUAACACAUGCAAGUCGAAUGGUAACAGGAAACAGCUUGCUGUUUCGCUGACGAGUGGCGGACGGGUGAGUAAUGUCUGGGAAACUGCCUGAUGGAGGGGGAUAACUACUGGAAACGGUAGCUAAUACCGCAUAACGUCUCAAGACCAAAGAGGGGGACCUUCGGGCCUCUUGCCAUCAGAUGUGCCCAGAUGGGAUUAGCUAGUAGGUGGGGUAAAGUCUCACCUAGGCGACGAUCCCUAGCUGGUCUGAGAGAUUGACCAGCCACACUGGAACUGAGACACGGUCCAGACUCCUACGGGAGGCAGCAGUGGGGAAUAUUGCACAAUGGGCGCAAGCCUGAUGCAGCCAUGCCGCGUGUAUGAAGAAGGCCUUCGGGUUGUAAAGUACUUUCAGCGGGGAGGAAGGGAGUAAAGUUAAUACCUUUGCUCAUUGACGUUACCCGCAGAAGAAGCACCGGCUAACUCCGUG